UGGAAGGGAGCUUCUUCUGCCUCUAGCUUUGCUGGCUAUUCUAUUUGGUGUGCAUCUUUUGCUCCAACAAGUUGGCAUAUUCAGUUCUCAGAACUAAUGUACCUUCUGCUGAGAAGACAACCAUUGAAGCUGUUCCCUCGAUUGCUGCAAAAAAGGGUCCUGAAGACAACAAGCCUGCAUCUCCAAAAUCUGCUCAUAUGAGCCCUCUCAAGAAACCAUGUGAAUCUGCAAAAUGAAGCAGCCACACAGCUUCAUGUCCUCUUUUGUUUAACAUGUAUGCUACUAAACUUCUAGCAUGCUA
Coffea arabica (coffee) is the source of this 301-nucleotide non-coding RNA. NCBI's taxonomy places the organism in Eukaryota, Viridiplantae, Streptophyta, Magnoliopsida, Gentianales, Rubiaceae. The record is from RefSeq and is a predicted model, not a curated record.